This 597-nucleotide ribosomal RNA is filed under the name Cladophora sp. YN1401. RNAcentral's name for it is "partial 28S ribosomal RNA". It matches the Rfam family "Eukaryotic large subunit ribosomal RNA", at positions 29 to 661 of the family's 3401-position model. The record is from RNAcentral. Lineage: Eukaryota; Viridiplantae; Chlorophyta; Ulvophyceae; Cladophorales; Cladophoraceae.
GGGAUUUAAGCAUAUCAAUAAGCGGAGGAAAAGAAACCAACAGGGAUUCCCUUAGUAACGGCGAGCGAAAAGGGAUGAGCCCAGCAUGUAAAUCUCCGGUUUCCGGCGAAUUGUAGUCUGGAGUAGCAACUCCUGGUGCCGUGCCGGCCCAAGCAUCUUGGAAUAGAUCGCCUCAGAGGGUGAGAGCCCCGUAGGUCGGUACGAGCUCCUACACGGAGUGCUCACGCAGAGUCGGGUUGUUUGGGAAUGCAGCCCCAAUUGGGUGGUAAACCCCAUCUAAGGCUAAAUACCUGUGGGAGACCGAUAGCAAAAAAGUACCUCGAGGGAACGAUGAAAAGACCGCUGGCAAGCGAGUGAAAGAGUGCAUGAAAUUGUAUAGUGGGAAGGGAUGGCCUGGCGUAUUGCCCGCGGGUAUACACUGCUCCUUGAGCUCUUGAAUACACCGUGGGCUGGCUGGUGCCGACACCUGCGCUUGCAAAUCCCCAAACUAAGGUGUUUGGCUCUUCAAGCGCGGGUGUUGAGGUUGAUCGUCGCUCUGUUUUAAACUGCGUCGACAAAGCACCAGCUGAAGCCUGUCCAUCUACCCGUCUUGAAAAA